UACAGAGGGUGCGAGCGUUGUCCGGAAUCACUGGGCGUAAAGGGCGCGUAGGUGGCCCGACAAGUCAAUGGUGAAAGCUCGACGCUCAACGUCGAGUCGGCCACUGAUACUGUUGGGCUGGAGCACUGUAGAGGCUCAUGGAAUUCCGGGUGUAGCGGUGGAAUGCGUAGAUAUCUGGAGGAACACCGGUGGCGAAGGCGGCAUCCUGGACCGGUAUUGACGCUGAUGCGCGAAAGCCAGGGGAGCAAACGGG
RNAcentral lists this ribosomal RNA (253 nucleotides) under uncultured bacterium. RNAcentral describes it as "partial 16S ribosomal RNA". It matches the Rfam family "Bacterial small subunit ribosomal RNA", at positions 524 to 776 of the family's 1533-position model. The record is from RNAcentral.